UACGUAGGGGGCUAGCGUUGCUCGGAAUUACUGGGCGUAAAGCGCACGUAGGCGGAUUGUUAAGUCGGGGGUGAAAUCCUGGAGCUCAACUCCAGAACUGCCUUCGAUACUGGCGAUCUCGAGUUCGGGAGAGGUGAGUGGAACUGCGAGUGUAGAGGUGAAAUUCGUAGAUAUUCGCAAGAACACCAGUGGCGAAGGCGGCUCACUGGCCCGAUACUGACGCUGAGGUGCGAAAGCGUGGGGAGCGAACUGG
Molecule: ribosomal RNA, 253 nt
Filed under: uncultured bacterium
Lineage: Bacteria
Description: partial 16S ribosomal RNA
Rfam family: Bacterial small subunit ribosomal RNA
Source: RNAcentral